RNAcentral lists this ribosomal RNA (253 nucleotides) under uncultured bacterium. Its description in RNAcentral is "partial 16S ribosomal RNA". It matches the Rfam family "Bacterial small subunit ribosomal RNA", at positions 524 to 776 of the family's 1533-position model. The record is from RNAcentral.
UACGUAGGUGGCAAGCGUUGUCCGGAUUUACUGGGUGUAAAGGGCGUGCAGCCGGAGAGACAAGUCAGAUGUGAAAUCCACGGGCUCAACCCGUGAACUGCAUUUGAAACUGUUUCCCUUGAGUGUCGGAGAGGUAAUCGGAAUUCCUUGUGUAGCGGUGAAAUGCGUAGAUAUAAGGAAGAACACCAGUGGCGAAGGCGGAUUACUGGACGAUAACUGACGGUGAGGCGCGAAAGCGUGUGGAGCAAACAGG